Molecule: ribosomal RNA, 497 nt
Filed under: uncultured bacterium
Lineage: Bacteria
Description: partial 16S ribosomal RNA
Rfam family: Bacterial small subunit ribosomal RNA
Source: RNAcentral
GAUGAACGCUGGCGGCGUGCCUAAUACAUGCAAGUCGAACGCAUAGCGAAAGGUGCUUGCACCUUUCAAGUGAGUGGCGAACGGGUGAGUAACACGUUGACAACCUGCCUCAAGGCUGGGGAUAACAUUUGGAAACAGAUGCUAAUACCGAAUAAAACUUAGUGUCGCAUGACACAAAGUUAAAAGGCGCUUCGGCGUCACCUAGAGAUGGAUCCGCGGUGCAUUAGUUAGUUGGUGGGGUAAGGGCCUACCAAGACAAUGAUGCAUAGCCGAGUUGAGAGACUGAUCGGCCACAUUGGGACUGAGACACGGCCCAAACUCCUACGGGAGGCUGCAGUAGGGAAUCUUCCACAAUGGGCGAAAGCCUGAUGGAGCAACGCCGCGUGUGUGAUGAAGGCUUUCGGGUCGUAAAGCACUGUUGUAUGGGAAGAACAGCUAGAAUAGGAAAUGAUUUUAGUUUGACGGUACCAUACCAGAAAGGGACGGCUAAAUACGUG